RNAcentral lists this ribosomal RNA (585 nucleotides) under uncultured bacterium. Its description in RNAcentral is "bacterial SSU rRNA". It matches the Rfam family "Bacterial small subunit ribosomal RNA", at positions 338 to 916 of the family's 1533-position model. The record is from RNAcentral.
CCUACGGGAGGCAGCAGUGGGGAAUUUUGGACAAUGGGCGCAAGCCUGAUCCAGCAAUGCCGCGUGAGUGAAGAAGGCCUUCGGGUUGUAAAGCUCUUUUGUCAGGGAAGAAACGGUGGGAGCUAAUAUCUCCUACUAAUGACGGUACCUGAAGAAUAAGCACCGGCUAACUACGUGCCAGCAGCCGCGGUAAUACGUAGGGUGCAAGCGUUAAUCGGAAUUACUGGGCGUAAAGCGUGCGCAGGCGGUUUUGUAAGUCUGUCGUGAAAGCCCCGGGCUCAACCUGGGAAUUGCGAUGGAGACUGCAAGGCUUGAAUCUGGCAGAGGGGGGUAGAAUUCCACGUGUAGCAGUGAAAUGCGUAGAGAUGUGGAGGAACACCGAUGGCGAAGGCAGCCCCCUGGGUCAAGAUUGACGCUCAUGCACGAAAGCGUGGGGAGCAAACAGGAUUAGAUACCCUGGUAGUCCACGCCCUAAACGAUGUCUACUAGUUGUCGGGUUUUAAUUAACUUGGUAACGCAGCUAACGCGUGAGUAGACCGCCUGGGGAGUACGGUCGCAAGAUUAAAACUUCAAAGGAAUUGACGG